GACGAACGCUGGCGGCGUGCUUAACACAUGCAAGUCGAGCGGUAAGGCCCUUUCGGGGGUACACGAGCGGCGAACGGGUGAGUAACACGUGGGUGACCUGCCCUCAGCUCUGGGAUAAGCCCGGGAAACUGGGUCUAAUACCGGAUAUGACUCCAUGACGCAUGUUGUGGGGUGGAAAGCCUUGUGCGGCUGAGGAUGGGCCCGCGGCCUAUCAGCUUGUUGGUGGGGUGGUGGCCUACCAAGGCGACGACGGGUAGCCGGCCUGAGAGGGCGACCGGCCACACUGGGACUGAGAUACGGCCCAGACUCCUACGGGAGGCAGCAGUGGGGAAUCUUGCGCAAUGGGCGAAAGCCUGACGCAGCGACGCCGCGUGAGGGAUGACGGCCUCGGUUGUAA
Molecule: ribosomal RNA, 397 nt
Filed under: uncultured bacterium
Lineage: Bacteria
Description: bacterial SSU rRNA
Rfam family: Bacterial small subunit ribosomal RNA
Source: RNAcentral